CCACUUCCCCCAGUGGCGCUGCCGGACGCCACGGUAGAGCUUGGUGGGCUUUGGGAGCGGCGGGGAAGCGGAGACCGCGGCGGCGACGUGCUUCAUCGGCAUAGGCCGCGGGGCUAGGAGCGCGUGCUGUUGCUGUUGCUGACGGGUGGAGAAGAGCUGCUGCUGGAAGUGCUGGAACUGGAUUUGCUGGAUCUGAGCCGGCGUGAGGGAGACGAGACCAAGGGGGCUCGAUGCCGAGUCGAAGAUCGGAGAAGACGCUGAUGGGUAGAAGGAUUGCGAUAUGUUUGAAGACGGCGAUGAGGAGAAGGAUUGUGACAUGAUGGAAGAUGGCGAUGAGGAAAAGGAUUGCAAUAUGUUUGAAGAGGGGGAGGUGGAAGAGGAGGGAGCACUAUGGACAAAGGGUCCAAGUGCUUUCAU
Molecule: unclassified non-coding RNA, 417 nt
Filed under: Hevea brasiliensis (rubber tree)
Lineage: Eukaryota; Viridiplantae; Streptophyta; Magnoliopsida; Malpighiales; Euphorbiaceae
Source: RNAcentral